RNAcentral lists this long non-coding RNA (307 nucleotides) under Salvia miltiorrhiza (redroot sage). RNAcentral's name for it is "long non-coding RNA (SMIL_LNC000339)". The record is from RNAcentral. Lineage: Eukaryota; Viridiplantae; Streptophyta; Magnoliopsida; Lamiales; Lamiaceae.
CCUGCUACGUCACCGCCGCGCAUGCGGUAAGCGCCACCCUCUCCAUUCCAAUCUCCAAGCACGAGGAGAAGAUUUAUCAUUUUUUUAUUGGAUUUACGGCUCCAAAAAAAUUUGCAAGCUUCGGCCUCCAUCUGCAAACUCCGCCACCCUCGCAAUUCCCUCAACGCCGCCGUCCACCCCAAAUCGAAACCCUAGCAACCGCCUCCCUCCGCCCACCCCAAAUCAAAUAGGCCGCCUCUCCUCCCACCCCCCAAAUCGGAUGGAGUUAUUCGCAGAACCUGUAGUGGCGCCAUGGCGGUGAAGAGGG